This 654-nucleotide ribosomal RNA is filed under the name Triticum aestivum (bread wheat). RNAcentral describes it as "partial small subunit ribosomal RNA". The record is from RNAcentral. Lineage: Eukaryota; Viridiplantae; Streptophyta; Magnoliopsida; Poales; Poaceae.
AUGCUGAUGGCACAUGUGUACGGCUUGAGGUGGAGAUCAUCUAGGCAAACCAAUGGGGUGGCCACACUUGGAGCGGGUUUGAUUGUUGCUGACACCUCCACAGCGAUAGAGAUGAGAGUUGUAGCAUUGUCCCCUCGUGGGCUCGUGGUCGAGCAGGUGGUAGCUGAUGCGUCGACGGAUUCCAUAGGCAUUGUAGAGGGGAUCUGUGUAGAUGUCGACGCACGCACAGAGGCCAUGGCCGAACCAUUAUUGGAGACAGCAUCGUGCGUGAGGGAGUUCACCGUGGUUGAGUGGUCGCCCGAGAUGCCCAACAUGGGGGUUGGACUCAAGGCCACGGCCGCUGGCUCGAGGUCGAAGCAACCGCGCUCAGGGACGACACCGAUGGUGACCUUGGACGAAGCUAAUGUUGAGGCAGGAGUGGGCGCAGACACUGACAUGGUGAUGGCGCAGCUUGGGCAUUGCAUCGAACAUGUUGCGUGCGACGUGGUAGUGAGGUCAACGCCGUCAGGUGCGGCCAUGCCCAGGUCGUUGCCGAGCCGUAGAGUGGCCCCGCGGUUGAUGGAGGUCUUGGUGGUGGUCGCAGCAGGCAUGAGAGAAGCGAUGUUGUCGACACUGUGGAAGCCCACCGCUCAAGCAUGGCACACAUCUCCUUGA